GAUGAAGAACGUAGCGAAAUGCGAUAAGUAAUGUGAAUUGCAGAAUUCAGUGAAUCAUCGAAUCUUUGAACGCACCUUGCGCCCUUUGGCCAUUCCGAAGGGCAUGCCUGUUUGAGUAUCAUGAACACCUCAACUCUCAUGGCUCGCCAUGAUGAGCUUGGACUUUGGGGGUCUUGCUGGCCUGUGGUCGGCUCCUCUCAAAUGGAUCAGCUUGCCAGUGUUUGGUGGCAUCACAGGUGUGAUAACUAUCUGCGCUUGUUGUUUUCCAUCAGAUAACCUUCAGUGAUGGAGGUUCGCUGGAGCUCAUAAACGUCUCCCCUAAGCGGGGACAGCCCUUUGAAUGUUUGAUCUCAAAUCAGGUAGGACUACCCGCUGAACUUAAGCAUAUCAAUAAGCGGAGGA
RNAcentral lists this unclassified non-coding RNA (402 nucleotides) under soil metagenome. RNAcentral's name for it is "partial contains 5.8S ribosomal RNA, internal transcribed spacer 2, and large subunit ribosomal RNA". The stretch from base 1 to 121 matches the Rfam family "5.8S ribosomal RNA", at positions 35 to 154 of the family's 154-position model. The record is from RNAcentral.